UAGGGAAUCUUCGGUACUGGGGGCAACCCUGACCGAGCAACGCCGCGUGAGUGAAGAAGGUUUUCGGAUCGUAAAGCUCUGUUGUAAGAGAAGAACGUGUGUGAGAGUGGAAAGUUCACACAGUGACGGUAACUUACCAGAAAGGGACGGCUAACUACGUGCCAGCAGCCGCGGUAAUACGUAGGUACCGAGCGUUUUCCGGAUUUAUUUGGCGUAAAGCGAGCGCAGGCGGUUUAAUAAGUCUGAAGUUAAAGGCAGUGGCUUAACCAUUGUUCGCUUUUGAAACUGUUGAACUUGAGUGCAGAAGGGGAGAGUAGAAUUCCAUGUGUAGCGGUGAAAUGCAUAGAUAUAUGGAGGAACACCGGUGGCGAAAGCGGCACUCUGGUCUGUAACUGACGCUGAGACUCGAAAGCGUGGGGGGCAAACAGG
This 429-nucleotide ribosomal RNA is filed under the name bacterium. RNAcentral's name for it is "partial 16S ribosomal RNA". It matches the Rfam family "Bacterial small subunit ribosomal RNA", at positions 355 to 776 of the family's 1533-position model. The record is from RNAcentral.